This 1050-nucleotide long non-coding RNA is filed under the name Equus caballus (horse). RNAcentral's name for it is "lncRNA (ENSECAG00000056323.1)". The record is from RNAcentral. Lineage: Eukaryota; Metazoa; Chordata; Mammalia; Perissodactyla; Equidae.
ACGUAUUGUCCCCUCAUCUUCUUCCAAGUAUUGGUGAUUCUCAUCUCUUUUAAAUCCCAGCAUUUAGAAAGAGUUGAAAGGAAACGCACCCUAGAUCAGGCCCCUUAGUCAUGCUGACUUGCCAAUGCAGCCUUGAAGAUGAACUACAAAUCAGGAAGCAGCUAGAAGUGGUGGGAACAGCAAUCAUGUUAGCCACAGAAGGGGAACAAACACAUAUAUUCAAGGCAAGCCCUGGAGUAACAUUGCUCUCACCCUCUCUCAAGCCCUUCUGCGUUCCUGAGCGGGAGGAGAAGGGGUGGAUAUGCUGCCUGCCUAUAGCUCUGGGCGUGCCUGUGGGACUGGGAGGUGCACACCAACGUCAUCUUUCUUUUGCUUUAAGGUGAAAAAUUGCUCCCGUUGCACAGCUUCAGUCAGUCAUGUAAUAUUUGCGGAUGUAAGGACUCAGCUAAAGUAUUAUGUGAAGUGUCAGCUGCCGGAAUGUGGGGUGGAUUUAUCUGUGUAAUAUGGAGUUGUCUUAUUUAAAUGUGUGCUUUCUAUACGAUUUCUAUAAGAACAUUUCCCUGCGUAUUCAGGGAUUCUCCAUUGUUCUGUACAGGCAUCAGGGGAGUAUUUGCCCUUGUUCAUUCAUUCGUUCCUUUUUUCUUCUUCCUCCCUCCCUCCCUCCUUAACUUCCUCCCUCCCUCCCUCCUCCCUUCCUUCUCCCCUUCCUUCCUUCCUUCUGUCCCUGGGGGUAAAUAUACAAAAUUAUACACUAUUACUUAUUUCUUUUUUUCUUUUUUUUUUUUUGAGGAAGAUCAGCCCUGAGCUAACUGCUGCCAAUCUUCCUCUUUUUGCUUAGGAAGAUUGGCCCUGAGCUAAUAUCUGUGCCCAUCUUCCUCUGCUUUAUAUGUGGGACGCCUACCACAGCAUGGCUUGCCAAGAGGUGCCAUGUCCGCACCCGGGAUCCGAACUGGAGAACCCCAGGCCGCCGAGAAGUGGAACGUGGGAACUUAACCGCUGCGCCACUGGACCAGCCCCUAUUACUUAUUUCUUGAUCUCUUACUAUGGCCA